UGGUCAAGCGAAUAAGUGCACAGGGUGGAUGCCUAGGCACGGACCGGCGAUGAAGGACGUGGCAAGCUGCGAAAAGCCUCGGUCAGCUGCAAGCAAGCUUUGACCCGGGGAUGUCCGAAUGGGGAAACCCGGCGGGAGCAAUCCCGUCACUCUACGGAGAGCCAACCCAGGGAACUGAAACAUCUAAGUACCUGGAGGAAAAGAAAUCAAUUGAGAUUCCCGGAGUAGCGGCGAGCGAAAUGGGAAUAGCCCAAACCCGGGUGGGGUGACUCACCUGGGGGUUGUGGGGCCAUGGCAAGGCGAGCAGAAGCAUAGCGGAACCGUACUGGAACGUACGACCGGAGAGGGUGAGAGUCCCGUAUGCGAAAUGCGAGUAUGCAAGCUGUCAUGGUACCCGAGUAGGCCGGGACACGUGAAACCCUGGCUGAAUCUGGGAGGACCAUCUUCCAAGGCUAAAUACGAGUCCGUGACCGAUAGUGGAGAGUACCGUGAGGGAAAGGUGAAAAGAACGCCUGACGGCGAGUGAAAUAGACCCUGAAACCGUGUGCAUACAAGCGGUCGGAGCCUGACGUAUUUCCUCGGUAGUGCGGGUGGGUGACGGCGUGCCUUUUGCAUUAUGAUCCGGCGAGUUACUCCUCAUGUGCGAGGUUAAGGGCCUCUGGUCCGGAGCCGCAGCGAAAGCGAGUCUGAACAGGGCGAUGAGUGCAUGGGGGUAGACCCGAAACCGACGCGAUCUAUCCAUGGCCAGGGUGAAGCUGGGGUAACACCCGGUGGAGGCCCGAACCGUUGUGGGUUGAAAACUGCUCGGAUGAGCUGUGGAUAGGGGUGAAAGGCCAAUCAAGCUCGGAGAUAGCUGGUUCUCCCCGAAAUAUAUUUUGGUAUAGCCUCAGGGAAUU
Molecule: ribosomal RNA, 896 nt
Filed under: Gemmatimonadota bacterium
Lineage: Bacteria; Pseudomonadati; Gemmatimonadota
Description: Gemmatimonadetes bacterium (beach sand metagenome) partial 23S ribosomal RNA
Rfam family: Bacterial large subunit ribosomal RNA
Source: RNAcentral